GAAGAAACUUAUUGGAUUGAGCCUUGGUAUGGAAACUUACUAAGUGAUCACUUUCAAAUUCAGAGAAACCCUGGAAUUAACAAAAAUGGGCAAUCCUGAGCCAAAUCCUGUUUUCCGAAAACAAACAAAGGUUCAGAAAAAAAGGAUAGGUGCAGAGACUCAAUGGAAGUUAUUCUAACAAAUGGAGUUAAAUGCAUUGGUAGAGGAAUCUUUACAUCAAAACUUCAGAAAGAAAAAAAAAAGCCAAGAGGCCGCUAGAGAAAGGGUUUUGUUUUCGAGUCUGUUUCCAAUUCUUCCGACCUUGAAUCUAGGUUUUCCCUAAUGCCACCUUGCUGCUUUCAAAGCUACACUUGCUUCCUUACUUCAUAAGCUAAUAAGAGAUUCUAUUAUUCUACACUUAUCCAGAUGCUUACGCUGGAUGGAAUGCCCUUAGCAGUUUUGGCUCUUAUAUAUCCGUAGUUGGGAUUUGUCGUUUCUUCGUGG
Non-coding RNA from Nicotiana attenuata, 483 nucleotides. The record is from Rfam. Lineage: Eukaryota; Viridiplantae; Streptophyta; Magnoliopsida; Solanales; Solanaceae.